AGGGAUGCAACACGAAUACAUUCCGAGAGAUCACCCAUCCUAGUACUACUCUCGUCCAAGCACGCUUAACUGCAGAGUUCUGAUGGGAUCCGGUGCAUUAAUGCUGGUAUGAUCGCAUCC
RNAcentral lists this ribosomal RNA (120 nucleotides) under Arabidopsis thaliana (thale cress). The record is from RNAcentral. Lineage: Eukaryota; Viridiplantae; Streptophyta; Magnoliopsida; Brassicales; Brassicaceae.